AGAGUUUGAUCCUGGCUCAGAUUGAACGCUGGCGGCAUGCUUUACACAUGCAAGUCGAACGGCAGCACGGGGGCAACCCUGGUGGCGAGUGGCGAACGGGUGCGUAACGCGUGGGAAUCUGCCCUUCGGUUCGGAAUAACAGUUAGAAAUGACUGCUAAAUACCGGAUGAUGACUUCGGUCCAAAGAUUUAUCGCCGAGGGAUGAGCCCGCGUAGGAUUAGCUAGUUGGUGAGGUAAAGGCUCACCAAGGCGACGAUCCUUAGCUGGUCUGAGAGGAUGAUCAGCCACACUGGGACUGAGACACGGCCAAGACUCCUACGGGAGGCGAC
Molecule: ribosomal RNA, 329 nt
Filed under: uncultured prokaryote
Description: bacterial SSU rRNA
Rfam family: Bacterial small subunit ribosomal RNA
Source: RNAcentral